GUCAGAGAGAGGUGCUGGCUGACCCCUUGAGUCCUUAACUGCGACUCAAAACAAGCCUAGGAGGAGCAGUGGGCACGGGCUCCAAAGUUAGCAAAGUGCCCCUGAAAGCAGCUUUCAGAGUGGGCUCCCGGUGUUCCAGAGACCUAGGGUGAGGUGGGACAAAGGAAAAACUCCCGGGGAACUCCUGCUUCAGCUUGCAGAGCCCUGGCGCCAGGCGCUUCCGCCGCUCCUCAGCACUCGCAUUUAUUGAGGUGCCUGCACAGGCACGUGAUGCCAGAGCCCUCCUUGACCUCCCCCCACCUCCACCUCCACCCAGUUCUGGCCCGAGGCCUGUGGGAGUCGACUUGCAGCAAGCCAGGAGCUUUCGUGGGCGUGCACUGUGCCUUUGUGAGUGGAGGCUGGCAAGGUCUGGACCCUGGGGCAAGAGAGCCCUUAACUUCUCCCACCUCUCUCAGAUCAGACACCCUCCCCCUCUCUGAUGGGAUGCUGAAAUUACUUACAGUCUGGUUGCAAAGCCCCAGAACUUGAGUAUGAUGAGCUCUAUGGGCUGCAUGGGACUGUAGCAGCUUAAUCUAUCUGUGCAUUCUGGGUUACCAUUAUGGAGCAACUCAAUACUUACGUUACCUUAACUAGGCACCCCAUCUGCUGCAGAGGAAAGGAGAGUCCAGUGUGAAAUCCUCUCAUUUAGGCCACGAGGAAGAAGGAACUGGAAGUUCAAAUGGGGACAGCUUCAAAGGGCUCUACUCCAAGUACACAAAUGCUCAUUUAAUUUCUUCAGGAAAAAAAAAUUAAAGUGGCGUGGAUAACUCAUCAAGAAAGGCUCUGAGAGUCAUUGAAAAGUGACUCUAACUUCAUUAGGGACUCACGGGAGGUGCCCUGUCACUGGGGAUAGCCUCAAGUUAGUAUUGAAACUACAGAUGAUCUCAUCUUCAUUUUGCUUUCUCACUAUGAGAUGAGUAGGUUUUCUUUUUUUCUAAACCAUGGAUAGAAACCUUCAAUAUGUAAGCCCAAAUAAGCAUUUUUUUCUUAAUGAAUUAACAAUCUCAAUUUUGUAACAUAUAGCUUAAUAUUUAAAAGAUGUAUUAUUUUAUUUCUCAUCAGUAUUAUAAGGAAAAUGUCAGGUUAAUUAUUAAUUAUUAAAUAGCCAAAUAAAAAUUAUUGUGAGACAUUAAUCAUCAAUAAAAACAAUCAUAAAUAGCAUUCACUUAUAGUCCUUUUACCAAACUAUCCUGUAUCCUCUCCAUUCCUCAGAAUGAGCCAAUAAUCAACAAAUCUUGAAAAUGUUCCUAAUCACACUGUUGAAGUAUAAAUCAACUAGUAUUACAUGUGAUUUGAAUAUCAGAGAACUGAUGUCACCAUGACAGGACAAAUCUGAAUUUAAAAGAAUUAAUUUACUCAGAAGCAUCAUUAAAAGUAAAUACUUCUAUUAAUUUAUGACUACAAUUUUUCUUUAUUACAUGUAGUAAUUGCAUGCUUAAAUAUUAGCAUUAAAUAAAGGCCACACAGAAGAUUUUCACUUUUAUGAAAAGGAAAGGGUCUAAGCUAUAUAGAUUUUCACCUAUGAAGAAUUCUAACAAAGUACUUGAAAGAUAUAUAUGUAACUUGUUAUGUUUUUUAAUGUGGCCCAUUUUCUCCCCUAAAUAGGAUAGUAACUGUUAAUUAUAUUAAGUGUUUCUUUUAGAUUAUUUUUAUCUGUAUAGUAUUUAGAUUUCAAACUUACAUUUGUUGUAGUUAACCCUGACAUUACAAUUUAUAUUUAUAAACUUUUAGCCAACACUAAUAACCUAUAAGUAUUAACAAAACUUUGAUGUACAAUACUGCAGCUGUUACUUUGAUUUCAUGUAAAGAAAUCUUUAAUAGCUAAUGAAAUUGUCCUUCUAAUUGCAGAAGUGUGUAUAAACAGUAACACACGUAAUUCAGAACACACUGCAGUCCUGAGUCUUCACUGAAGGUUGGGGAGAGUGUUUGCUGGUAUUACACAGUGCAAGUGCUUGGACAUUGCAAAUUACAACUGUUCUGUGAUCAGAUCCUAGGCUGCAGUGAGAAAACAUGGUAGCUCACAGACAAAACACCUCAUGAUUGCACAUUUGAUUUUUGAAUGAAUUUUUGGUUCAUGUGUGUUGAGAAACCGAUUACUGUUGUCAAAUUUAACCCAACUGCUACACUGUAGUAUAUGACCUCCAUAAUGAAAUCACAAAUUACAGCUACAGGUCUAGAUAGCAUAUUCCCUCACUGCAGGAAAGAAGCAGUGGCUGUGGAGAGUGCUUUUAUUUUUUAAAGUAAAACAAUGCCAAAGUAUACAUCAUUAGUAGGCAAGGGCAUUAUGAAUUCACUCGGCCUGGGCUAUUGCCAGUUUUUAAAGAGAUGUGCGAAUAAUAGUGACCCGAUAUUUUGGUUGAUUCUAGUUGAAUAGAGAGAAUUGCUAGCAGUUCUGAAGACACAGAUACAAUAGCCUAAAUUGUUUUGCAUGACUAAAGACAUGUACAGAACUCACUGAGUUCCUCAGAAUCUUGAAAAGACUUUAUAAUCUGAAAAAUUACAUCAGGGUGUUUACUCAAUGGCAAGGCAAAAAAUAUCAUUUGUAACAAUGUUACAUUUUUUGACAAAAAGGUUGCAUUCACAUUCAAACUUGAAAAGAGUAUGUGUGGCCUGGAAAAUCACAUAACAUUUAUUCUUAGCCCGCAUUUAGUGGUCAUGAUAAUCAGGUUAAACUGUUCUUACAAAGAUUUACCUCAUGUUUAUAUUCAAGUUUCUCUGCAUACAUACAUAUACAUAGUGUGCCUGGUGCAUAUGCAGAACAGAAAGCUUCAGAUACCAUGAUACUUGAGUUACAUGCCAUCAUAUGCUGUGAUGUGGGUGCUUGGAAUCAAACCUGAGUCCUCUGAGAGAGGAGCAAUUGUGCCUAUGUUGAGCUAUCUCCCCACCCCCAAAGGUAAAUUUUCUUAAGUUUAAAUUUGCUUAGUGAUCAUGCAAGUUCUGAGAAAUCUGUUUUUUUAUUUUUCAGAAAACCAAGGAAGUUUGCUGAUUACUUCACUAGGGUAGAAGGAGAGGAAAAGAGGGAUGGAGGGAAGGAUAGAUAGUGACAGAGAGGGGAAAGGGGGAAAGAGCACCAGCAUCUCUUUUAGUGUCUCUCCAUUCGUGAAAAGUAUUUUUUUUUAAAAGAAAAAAAUUAAAUUGGCUUCCUCUUUUAGAAUACAAGGGAUCAUUUUCUAGCUACCUAGAUUUGUUUAUUUGUUCUUAGACAUAAUCCUGUUAAUUCAGGCAAUAGUGGUAACUCUGACCUUCUGGGUUCUCCUCUCCAUCUCUGCCUUGGCCACCAGUGUAAACUUUAUCUGCUCUGGUCCUGAGGUUUUUGAAAGAUAUGACCUUAGUUUGCCAGGGGCAGGAGCUUCUUGUUAACUAUAACCAUAUGCUUUUCUUUUUAAUUUCAUUCCACUCAAAAGUGAAAUGAAACAGUUCUGUUUCACAGUGGAUUUAAAAAUGAGGUUGUUAAGGUAAGGUUUCCUUCUUCUCUCUCCCUCACUCCUUCCCCUCCAUCCUUUACUUCAUAUAAAAUUUAAAAUGCUUACAUUUUGUUCAUUAUUAAUAUGUCUUUUUCUGUGAAGUGGGUGAAUGCAGCUCUACACAAAUAUACAAACACUGGAAACAGCCUGAGUUUCAAUCCAUAGAAACCAUAUAAACAAACUGAUACAGUCAAAUAAUGGAAUUACACUUAGAAAUGGGUAAAGAAUCAACUAUUGAUAAAACAACAUAAGUUAUUCCCCAACACCAGGAGGACUGACAGCAUACAGAUUGCAUGCUGACUGCCACUUCUGUGAAAUUAAACAAAGAAACAAAUAAAACAUGGUCAAAAGAUUUUCUUUAGGUUAAAAAUCAAUGACAGUUUCCUGGAAAUGAAAGAAAAUGUCUCUCUAUGCAGUUAUGUAUUUCAAUAGGAAUAGGAUUGCUGACAAUUUUUAUUCUUGAAUGACAGCACUUCUCAAAUGCCAUUCUCAUUGUCACAGAUCUUUAACUUACUGAUAGUAAAUCUUCCAUCAUAUUAAGCUUAGCUUACAUUGUAAUUAAUAUCAGAAUGCCAAAUCAUUUAGGGAGAGGUACACAGAUGUCUGCAUUAAUUAAAUUAAAAAAUAAGACAGGCAAAUAAUAAACAGACAGAAGGGAUGUUUACAAAGCAGAUAUAAUAAAACUCAUUUAAUUCAGUGUAGAUAUAAAUAGGUGUUCCUUAUAAAAUACUUUCAAUGAAUAUAUGAAUUUUUUAUAAGAUACUGAAGAGGUUGAUAUAUUUUUUAAUUAAGAGUACAUUGUCAUCUUCAGCGCGAACCCGGCAGAAGAUCCCAAGGUCCCCAGAGGACUCUCCAUGCCAUAGGUGCCCUAGCACACCCAGGAUCUUGGGAUCACUGGUAAGUGGAACACAAUAUCUGUUCCAAAGAAUGCCGAAGGUUCUGGUGCCAGCAGAACAGGGAAAGAGGAACAACGCCUGCCCAGUGGCUAGGAUUCUUUCCAUCAGGGCCAGCCCCACCCCAUCUUGGGUAUGACCUGGGCAAGCACACCCAGGAUCUUGGGAUCACUGAGACCAGUCUACACAGGAGAGCACCUAGGCAGCAGAAACAACAGAGCUUCUUAGAAAGGGUCUCUUUGGGCCUUCAUCCUUAGCCAGGAGGUGGAGAUGAGACCCAGACCUCUAGGCACCUUCCUUGCCAGAGGAGAGUCUGCCUCCAGGGAAGGCUCUGUCCCCUGGACUCAGGAAGUGGAUCUGAGCUCCAGACUUCUGGGCAUCUUCCCUGCAAGUGGACAGCUUACAUACAGAGACUGCUCUGACCACUGAGACUCAGGAGAGAGUUGGCCUCCAAGGAGUGCUGAGAGAGGCUAACAGAACAAGCUUCAGCCAGACACAGCUAGAAUAUCUAACACCAGAGAUUACCAGAUGACGAAAGGCAAACUUAAGAACCUUACUAACAGAAACCAAGACCACUGGGCAUCAUCAGAACCUAGUAUGCCCACAACAGCAAGUCCUAGAUAGUU
RNAcentral lists this long non-coding RNA (5022 nucleotides) under Mus pahari (shrew mouse). RNAcentral describes it as "lncRNA (MGP_PahariEiJ_G0003107.1)". The record is from RNAcentral. Lineage: Eukaryota; Metazoa; Chordata; Mammalia; Rodentia; Muridae.